RNAcentral lists this ribosomal RNA (444 nucleotides) under uncultured bacterium. RNAcentral's name for it is "SSU rRNA". It matches the Rfam family "Bacterial small subunit ribosomal RNA", at positions 26 to 518 of the family's 1533-position model. The record is from RNAcentral.
AGAACGAACGCUGGCGGCACGCCUAACACAUGCAAGUCGAGCGCCCAGCAAUGGGAGCGGCGGACGGGUGAGUAACACGUGGGAACAUGCCUUUCGGUACGGAACAACUGCGGGAAACUGCAGCUAAUGCCGUAUACGCCCUUACGGGGAAAGAUUUAUCGCCGAAAGAUUGGCCCGCGUCUGAUUAGCUAGUUGGUGAGGUAACGGCUCACCAAGGCUUCGAUCAGUAGCUGGUUUGAGAGAACGACCAGCCACAUUGGGACUGAGACACGGCCCAAACUCCUACGGGAGGCAGCAGUGGGGAAUCUUGGACAAUGGGGGAACCCUGAUCCAGCGAUGCCGCGUGAGUGAUGAAGGCCUUCGGGUUGUAAAACUCUUUCGGACGGGACGAUAAUGACGGUACCCGUAGAAGAAGCUCCGGCUAACGUUCGCGCCAGCAGCCGC